Molecule: ribosomal RNA, 564 nt
Filed under: uncultured bacterium
Lineage: Bacteria
Description: partial 16S ribosomal RNA
Rfam family: Bacterial small subunit ribosomal RNA
Source: RNAcentral
UGGGGAAUUUUGGACAAUGGGCGCAAGCCUGAUCCAGCCAUGCCGCGUGCGGGAAGAAGGCCUUCGGGUUGUAAACCGCUUUUGUCAGGGAAGAAAUCUUCUGAGUUAAUACCUCGGGAGGAUGACGGUACCUGAAGAAUAAGCACCGGCUAACUACGUGCCAGCAGCCGCGGUAAUACGUAGGGUGCAAGCGUUAAUCGGAAUUACUGGGCGUAAAGCGUGCGCAGGCGGUUUUGUAAGACAGAGGUGAAAUCCCCGGGCUCAACCUGGGAACUGCCUUUGUGACUGCAAGGCUUGAGUGCGGCAGAGGGGGGAUGGAAUUCCGCGUGUAGCAGUGAAAUGCGUAGAUAUGCGGAGGAACACCGAUGGCGAAGGCAAUCCCCUGGGCCUGCACUGACGCUCAUGCACGAAAGCGUGGGGAGCAAACAGGAUUAGAUACCCUGGUAGUCCACGCCCUAAACGAUGUCAACUGGUUGUUGGGAAGGUUCCUUCUCAGUAACGUAGCUAACGCGUGAAGUUGACCGCCUGGGGAGUACGGCCGCAAGGUUGAAACUCAAAUGAAUU